RNAcentral lists this ribosomal RNA (347 nucleotides) under uncultured bacterium. RNAcentral describes it as "bacterial SSU rRNA". It matches the Rfam family "Bacterial small subunit ribosomal RNA", at positions 917 to 1269 of the family's 1533-position model. The record is from RNAcentral.
GGGCCCGCACAAGCGGUGGAGCAUGUGGUUUAAUUCGAUGCAACGCGAAGAACCUUACCAGGGCUUGACAUACUACAGAUCUUUUUGAGAAAGAGGAGUGCCUUCGGGAAUGUAGAUACAGGUGGUGCAUGGCUGUCGUCAGCUCGUGUCGUGAGAUGUUGGUUAAGUCCCGCAACGAGCGCAACCCUUAUUUUUAGUUACCAACUUGUUGGGUUCUCUAGAAAGACUGCCGGUGACAAACCGGAGGAAGGUGAGGAUGACGUCAAGUCAGCAUGCCCCUUAUGUCCUGGGCUACACACGUGCUACAAUGGCUAAGACAAAGAGUCGCGAGUUCGUGAGAACCAGCU